GACGAACGCUGGCGGCGUGCUUAACACAUGCAAGUCGAACGGUGAAGGGGUCUGCUUUUGUGGGCCCUGGAUGAGUGGCGAACGGGUGAGUAACACGUGAGUAACCUGCCCCCUUCUUCUGGAUAACCGCAUGAAAGUGUGGCUAAUACGGGAUAUUCUGGGUCUGUCGCAUGAUGGGUCUGGGAAAGAUUGCGCCUUUGGGUGUUUUUGGUGGGGGAUGGGCUCGCGGCCUAUCAGCUUGUUGGUGGGGUGAUGGCCUACCAAGGCGGUGACGGGGAGCCGGCCUGAGAGCGUGGACGGUCACACUGGGACUGAGACACGGCCCAGACUCCUACGGGCGGCAGCAGUGGGGAAUAUUGAACAAUGGGCGCAAGCCUGAUGCAGCGACGCCGCGUGAGGGAUGGAGGCCUUCGGGUUGUAAACCUCUUUAGCCAGUGAAGCAGGCCUGCUCCUUGUGGGUGGGUUGACGGUAGCUGGAUAAGAAGCGCCGGCUAACUACGUG
This 502-nucleotide ribosomal RNA is filed under the name uncultured bacterium. RNAcentral describes it as "partial 16S ribosomal RNA". It matches the Rfam family "Bacterial small subunit ribosomal RNA", at positions 28 to 507 of the family's 1533-position model. The record is from RNAcentral.